Molecule: ribosomal RNA, 468 nt
Filed under: uncultured bacterium
Lineage: Bacteria
Description: partial 16S ribosomal RNA
Rfam family: Bacterial small subunit ribosomal RNA
Source: RNAcentral
GACGAACGCUGGCGGCGUGCUUAACACAUGCAAGUCGAACGGAAAGGCCCUGCUUUUGUGGGGUGCUCGAGUGGCGAACGGGUGAGUAACACGUGAGUAACCUGCCCUUGACUUUGGGAUAACUUCAGGAAACUGGGGCUAAUACCGGAUAGGAGCUCCUGCUGCAUGGUGGGGGUUGGAAAGUUUCGGCGGUUGGGGAUGGACUCGCGGCUUAUCAGCUUGUUGGUGGGGUAGUGGCUUACCAAGGCUUUGACGGGUAGCCGGCCUGAGAGGGUGACCGGCCACAUUGGGACUGGGAUACGGCCCAGACUCCUACGGGAGGCAGCAGUGGGGAAUAUUGCACAAUGGGCGGAAGCCUGAUGCAGCCACGCCGCGUGCGGGAUGACGGCCUUCGGGUUGUAAACCGCUUUCGCCUGUGACGAAGCGUGAGUGACGGUAAUGGGUAAAGAAGCACCGGCUAACUACGUG